CGCACUUUCUCAGCUCAUAUUUCCUCUUCUUCCCAACCUCCCUGUAUAGAUCUUUCUUAUUUUUCCUUUCUCUCUCUCUCUUUGAAUAACUGUCUACUACACAGCAACAGAUCCCUGUGACUCGGUGGCUAUCUCGCUUUUCUCAAAUGAUUUUUUCUCUUAUUUUCUUGAUCUCUCUUGUAUUUCGUUCGUGAGUAGCUUCUCUAUCCAUAUCUUUUUGCAGCUCAUGGAAUCAAUUUAGGGAACGACGUGAUUGUGAUUGAUAAUUUCUUCACUGAGGAAGGAGAACCUGGUGCACUUGUUUGGGAACCCGAGGUUCGAGCUCAUUCGUCACGAUGUGGUGGAUCCUAUUCUGUUAGAGGUGGAUCAGAUUUAUCACCUCGCUUGCCCUGCCUCACCCGUGCAUUCCAAGUACAAUCCCGUUAAGACCAUUACCAAUGUGAUGGAUACCCUUAACAUGUUGGGCCUUGCAAAGAGGAUUGGGACAAGGUUUCUGCCUCCAUGUCAGUGAUGGUCACAAUCUAACUGAUCGCCCAUCAACAAGAGUCAAAUCGGUUCCUGGUGGACAUUCAUCGCUUGGAUACUUGUUUGGAGAUAAGUGACAUUUUCUUUUAUAUAUAUAUAUAUAUGGAAUUUCCUGGUAGUGGUGCCUCUGAAAAGAAGUAUCAACAAUUAAGUAGUACAUCAAUAUGUGCUUUCGAUCUCUGGUAGUUUAUAUAUCAGUGAAAUCAGAUGUGUCAAGAAUAUGUUAACAUUAUAUUUGCUGUAAAUUUCAGUUUUAUGUUGGUUGAUCUUCUCAUAUCAUAUACUUAAAUUCAGUUGGCACAAAACUUGUUUAAUUCUUCGUGUUAUGUUAAUUGCGGAGCUUCGAUCUGUUGUUGAUUCACUGGUUGUAUAUUAAGUCUUUUAAUGAGUAUCAGAUUGUUACUUUUGCUUGUAAAGAUAGUAAUAUAUCAAUGGCUAACACUUCCGUUUUAAUUUUACGUGGAUCUGAUUAAGUUUUAUAGUUUAUUCUUCUUCUUGGCACAAUCACUAAACUUCCAAGUUCAAAGUUAAUUUAGAGUUCACAACCCUAUGGGUGCGCUUUCCGUUUUCUUCAUCAAGUUAUUCCCCUUCCUCCACAUUGUUAUUCCAGAAAAUAAAAACACUCACAACCACACACUUGAUAAAAACAGCAACGUACAGUUCUUCCUUUGUUAGUAAUUAAUUGUUUUAUACCUUGAUUAUUGUGUUGCAUAUUUUAUGUCGAAUGUAUUUUUAAUUUUAGGGGACUUUUCAGAUUGCAUUGUGGCGUGGAAUUCAAGUUGCUGUCAAAACUUUUGGGGAGGAAGUGUUCAAUGAUGAUGAAAAGGUAUUGGCAGCAGCUCAAACACCUGGUGAAUCAGGGUACUGCCGAUGUUGUAAGACAAUUUCUUUGGUUGUUUGAGGAUGCUGAGCAUAAAAACAUAGAGAACAUUCUGAUAUUGUGUGGUGAUCAACUCUAUCGAAUGGAUUACAUGGAACUAGUGCAGAAGCACAUCAAUUCAUGUGCUGAUAUAUCGGUUUCUUGUCUCCCUGUGGAUGGCAGAUAUUCUAAGUAAAGUUUCCCCUUAAGACCAUAUAUUCCAUGUUUUCAUUUUUAUAAAAAAAUUAUUUUCAUGUUAAAAAAUAUUGUUGUUUCUUUUAGAUAAUUUUAUCUUGAAUUUAUUGCUAUAUUCCAAAUAACGUUAACUGUUUUAUCUCUAAGUUAAUUGAAAA
This is a long non-coding RNA of Gastrolobium bilobum, 1737 nucleotides long. RefSeq lists it as uncharacterized. The transcript has 8 exons. Lineage: Eukaryota; Viridiplantae; Streptophyta; Magnoliopsida; Fabales; Fabaceae. The record is from RefSeq and is a predicted model, not a curated record.